Pipistrellus kuhlii (Kuhl's pipistrelle) is the source of this 276-nucleotide long non-coding RNA. RefSeq lists it as uncharacterized. The transcript has 2 exons. The record is from RefSeq and is a predicted model, not a curated record. Lineage: Eukaryota; Metazoa; Chordata; Mammalia; Chiroptera; Vespertilionidae.
UCUGACGCUAGUUAGUGGAGCGCGGCAGGGCUUUCUGAGGCCAGUAUGACGUCAGCUGAUAGGGAACGCGGGCUUUGGCCUCGCGUCUGGAACAACCGGGCCCGACGGCGGCACUGAGGCUGCACGCAGUUGGGGUUGGGUAGCUCCCAGUGCAAAAUCUCUUGCCAAUGCCUCCUCACCACCAAUAUUUUCUGAUUGGACCUGGAGGUCAGUGUGCGAGAGAGGGUGAGAGGAAGUCCACACUGGUCAGUCUUCAGGGGAACAGAGCAAGACAAA